GCCGAGGUGGUGAAACUGGCAGACGCGCUGGACUCAAAAUCCAGUGGGGCAACCCGUGCGGGUUCGAUUCCCGCCCUCGGCA
RNAcentral lists this transfer RNA (82 nucleotides) under Deltaproteobacteria bacterium. RNAcentral describes it as "tRNA-Leu". It matches the Rfam family "tRNA". Rfam says of the family: Transfer RNA (tRNA) molecules are approximately 80 nucleotides in length. Their secondary structure includes four short double-helical elements and three loops (D, anti-codon, and T loops). Further hydrogen bonds mediate the characteristic L-shaped molecular structure. tRNAs have two regions of fundamental functional importance: the anti-codon, which is responsible for specific mRNA codon recognition, and the 3' end, to which the tRNAs corresponding amino acid is attached (by aminoacyl-tRNA synthetases). tRNAs cope with the degeneracy of the genetic code in two manners: having more than one tRNA (with a specific anti-codon) for a particular amino acid; and 'wobble' base-pairing, i.e. permitting non-standard base-pairing at the 3rd anti-codon position. Lineage: Bacteria; Pseudomonadati; Myxococcota; Myxococcia. The record is from RNAcentral.